UACGAAACUGGCAAGCGUUAUCCGGAAUUACUGGGCUUAAAGCGCCCGCAGGCGGACUUUUAAGUCUGUCGUCAAAGCCCGCAGCUUAACUCCAUUUCUGCGAUGUAAACUGAAAUACUAGAAUGUGGUAAGGGCAGAGGGAAUUCCCGGUGGAACGGUGAAAUGGGUAUAUAUCGGGAAGAACACCAGUGGCGAAGGCGCUCUGCUGGGACAUAUCUGACGCUCAUGAACGAAAGCCAGGGGAGCGAAAGGGAUUAAAUACCCCUGUAAUCCUGGCCGGAAACGAUGAACACUAGGUGUCGGGAGAAUCGAACCCCUCGGUGGCCUAACCAACGCGUUAAGUGGUCCGCCUGGGGAGUACGCACGCAAGUGUGAAACUCAAAGGAAUUGACGGGGGCCCGCACAAGCGGUGGAAUAUGGGGUUUAAUUCCAUGCAUCGCGAAGAACCUUACCAGAGUUUGACAUCCUGCGAAUCUCUUGGAAACAAGAGAGUGCCUUCGGGAUCGCAGCGACAGGUGCAGCAUGGCCGUCGUCAGCUCGUGUCGUGAGAUGGUGGGAUAAGUCCCGCAGACGAGACGCACACUCCACGUCGUUAGUCACCAGUAAUUAGUUGGGCACUCUAGCGAGACCCCCGGUGAUAAACCGGAGGAAGGUGUGGAGGACGUCAAGUCAUCAUGCCCCUUACAUUAUGGGCUACCCACGUACUCCAAUGCUACGGACAAAGGGCAGCAAGCUCGCGAGAGGUAGCAAAUCCCAUAAACCUUGGCUCAGUUCAGAUCGUAGGCUGCAACUGACGUCCGUGAAGGAGGAAUCGUUAGUAAUCGCAGUUCACCAUACUGCGGUGAAUACGUUCCCGGGCCU
Molecule: ribosomal RNA, 861 nt
Filed under: uncultured bacterium
Lineage: Bacteria
Description: SSU rRNA
Rfam family: Bacterial small subunit ribosomal RNA
Source: RNAcentral